ACAGCAGUAGCCGCGGUAAUACAGAGGGUGCAAGCGUUAAUCGGAAUUACUGGGCGUAAAGCGCGCGUAGGUGGUUCGCCAAGUUGGAUGUGAAAUCCCCGGGCUCAACCUGGGAACUGCAUCCAAAACUGGCGAGCUAGAGUAUGGUAGAGGGUGGUGGAAUUUCCUGUGUAGCGGUGAAAUGCGUAGAUAUAGGAAGGAACAUCAGUGGCGAAGGCGACCACCUGGACUGAUACUGACACUGAGGUGCGAAAGCGUGGGGAGCAAACAGGAUUAGAUACCCCUGUAGUCCCUGUCUCUUAUAC
Molecule: ribosomal RNA, 305 nt
Filed under: uncultured bacterium
Lineage: Bacteria
Description: partial 16S ribosomal RNA
Rfam family: Bacterial small subunit ribosomal RNA
Source: RNAcentral